UAAGACCCAAAUUUCGAGCGCUCUCUCUCUCUCUCUCUCAGAGCGAUUUUGAAGCUCCACCGCUUGUUCAUUCUCAGAGCGAGGUAGCGAGCACCAACGAAAGUGAGCUCCAUUGUCUCUCUCCCUCUCUCUCUCUCUCUCUCAACCCUCUCUAAACCCUCACCAGAGCGAUUCAUAGAAUCAUCUCAGAGAUUUCAUCGCAGAGAUUCAGAGGGAUUUCAUCGCAGAGAUUCAGAUCGUCUCCACCAUCGUCUGCUAAGUGCUGCCGUCGUUGCCAUUGCCGCCGGAGUAUCCAGAUUUGUAUGGGAAGCGGAGGGAGCUUGCUAAGGUUCAGAUAUUGGAGAGAGAGCGAUUACUUUUCUUGAGAUAACACAACAGCACAUCAUGACUUUUAAUUCCUGGUUUUAAAUUUUUAUCUUUGGGACAUCACAUCUUGCAUCUGCAGUAGGCUUAUCUGUUGGUUUGCCAUUAUGCUGGUGAUGUCACCUAUCAAACUGAAUUUUUUCUAGACAAAAACAAAGAUUAUGUUAUUGCCGAACAUCAAGCACUCUUGAGUGCUUCCAAAUGUUCCUUUGUGUCGGGUUUGUUUCCACUUUCAUCUGAGGAGUCCUCUAACAAUCAAAGUUCUCUUCAAUAGGUUCACGGUUCAAGCAACAAUUGCAACAAUUGCUUGAAACUCUUGAGUUCGACUGAGCCUCGUUAUAUUCGCUGUGUGAAGCCCAAUAAUCUUCUUAAGCCAGCUAUUUUUGAGAAUAGUAAUGUUCUACAACAACUGCAUUGUGGGGUAAGUAAGGGUAACUUUUACAUGGUGUUGGAAACGAAGUUGGCUGCCUUCUUUUUUCGUCCCCCUCAUAACUCUUGCUGAUAAUGCUCGAGUUAGGGAAAGACUGGAGGAUAUUGAAAGGGACCAACGUGAAUAUACAUUAGACGAUGAGGACAAGAAGGUUCAAGACGUAAUUCUUAAACCAGACCCUUCAAAAAAUGACAUUAUGUGGUUGAAGAAAACUCUUUCUUGUUCCUACCCAAACUUGCCUUUUAAUGAGGCACUUCAAAAAGAAAAUGAAAAGCUUCAGUUAGAACUACAACGUUCACAAGCCAAUUUGGAUGUGGGUGAGUGUGAAGAAUUCAACAUCUGCUUGAUGUCACAGACGCUGAUGCCGUAAAUUCUGUAUCUGAGAAGAGUUCACCCAUGAGAAUUUCCAAAAAGGUGGAGCAGAAUUAUUCGGAUGUUAAUAGUGAAAAGAAGCAUUCAUAUGAUGAAAGCUACACUAAGCAAAGUGAGACUCACUCAACUUCAAGGACAACUUGCUCGGGAAGUUUACGAGAACAUUAGGAGAUAAGCUUCUUGUCUGAGAAUUCAGAGAGAUUUUCGCAUGCAUCUUGCUAGGAAAGCUUAUAAAGAAUUGUGCUUUUUUGCUGUUUCUAUUCAGGCUGGUAUGCGUGGAAUGGUUGCACGUGAUGAGCUUUGCUUCAGAAGGCAGAUUGCUUUUUAUGGAAAGCUUUCAUUGCUGUAUUCUCUUAGACUACUUGACUACAUGAAUUGUGCAUUUGGAUGUAUUAGUAGGAACUCCAACAAUUUCUUUUACACUGCUUCUGUUCAACUAAGUUCUUUAAAAUAACCAUAUUAUAACCUUUUAUAAUAAUGUUUUUCUUUUGGAGAGCA
Camellia sinensis is the source of this 1663-nucleotide non-coding RNA. Lineage: Eukaryota; Viridiplantae; Streptophyta; Magnoliopsida; Ericales; Theaceae. The record is from RefSeq and is a predicted model, not a curated record.